This is a non-coding RNA of Heterocephalus glaber (naked mole-rat), 377 nucleotides long. Lineage: Eukaryota; Metazoa; Chordata; Mammalia; Rodentia; Bathyergidae. The record is from RefSeq and is a predicted model, not a curated record.
CUGAGGGUAAUUUUGUCCUUGUAAAAUGAACUAGGAAGCGUUUUCUUUUUUUCUAGUUCCUAGACUAUAAGAAAAAUUGGGAGGAAGGUGUCUAAAAAGGAGAAAGUUGAAAAGGAGUAAAUGAAUGGAGCUGUCCACAGUAGUCACAGAUGGGAGCAAUGAAAACAACUGGUUACACUCAGUUCUUUACAACACUUGAACCUGAACCUCCAUCAGUCCCAUAGACCCCAGAUGAGCAAGGCAUAUUUUGGGAUCUGAGAGUCUCAGCUGUCUCCAGCCAAAAAGAAGAUGUAUAUCUGCAGCUUGAAAUUAUGAGUCUAUUUGAAAACAUCUAACAGUAAUGAGACCGAUUACCAGAGGGGAAAAAUCACCAUCAA